Molecule: ribosomal RNA, 312 nt
Filed under: Triticum aestivum (bread wheat)
Lineage: Eukaryota; Viridiplantae; Streptophyta; Magnoliopsida; Poales; Poaceae
Description: partial small subunit ribosomal RNA
Source: RNAcentral
AUGGUAGGCACUACUGACAGUGAGGCACAGACAACAACUACUGUCAACACUGAAGCACAUCUCUUAAUUGCCCAGCAGCGCAUGAAGAAAUAUGCAGAUCGCAAGCGAGUCGGAAGGACUCUCGCAGUAGGUGACAUGGCUUACUUGAAGCUUCAGCCAUAUCGUCUGAAUGCUUUUGGCCUUCGCUCUCACAUGAAGCUGCAAAAGAAGUUCUACGGACCAUUUCGAGUACUGUAUCAUGUGGGCAGUGUGGCAUAUCACCUGCAGCUGCAAACGUGGGUAUCCACCCAGUGUUCCACAUUAGCCAGCUGA